This 383-nucleotide ribosomal RNA is filed under the name uncultured bacterium. Its description in RNAcentral is "bacterial SSU rRNA". It matches the Rfam family "Bacterial small subunit ribosomal RNA", at positions 32 to 410 of the family's 1533-position model. The record is from RNAcentral.
AAUCAACGCUGGCGGCGUGCCUAACACAUGCAAGUCGAACGCGAAAGUCCCGCAAGGGGCAAGUAGAGUGGCGCACGGGUGAGUAACACGUGGAUAACCUGCCUUCGAGUGAGGAAUAACCUUCCGAAAGGAGGGCUAAUACCGCAUAACACCUUGAGACAAAAGUUUCGAGGUUAAAAGGAGCAAUUCGCUGGAAGAGGGGUCCGCGCCUGAUUAGCUAGUUGGUGAGGUAACGGCUCACCAAGGCUGUGAUCAGUAGCCGUCCUGAGAGGGAGCACGGCCACACUGGAACUGAGACACGGUCCAGACUCCUACGGGAGGCAGCAGUGGGGAAUUUUUGGCAAUGGGCGAAAGCCUGACCAAGCAACGCCGCGUGGGUGAUG